RNAcentral lists this transfer RNA (73 nucleotides) under Ilumatobacter fluminis. It matches the Rfam family "tRNA". Rfam says of the family: Transfer RNA (tRNA) molecules are approximately 80 nucleotides in length. Their secondary structure includes four short double-helical elements and three loops (D, anti-codon, and T loops). Lineage: Bacteria; Bacillati; Actinomycetota; Acidimicrobiia; Acidimicrobiales; Ilumatobacteraceae. The record is from Rfam by way of RNAcentral.
GCCGGGUUAGCUCAGUUGGUAGAGCGCGUCACUUGUAAUGACGAUGUCGCGAGUUCGAUUCUCGCACCCGGCU